AAGUCGAGCGGAAACGGCAACAUUGACUCUUCGGAUGAUUUGUUGGACGUCGAGCGGCGGACGGGUGAGUAAUGCUUAGGAAUUUGCCCAGUCGAGGGGGAUAACUAUUGGAAACGAUAGCUAAUACCGCAUACGCCCUACGGGGGAAAGAGGGGGACCUUCGGGCCUCUUGCGAUUGGAUAAGCCUAAGUGAGAUUAGCUAGUUGGUGAGGUAAGAGCUCACCAAGGCGACGAUCUCUAGCUGGUCUGAGAGGAUGAUCAGCCACACUGGGACUGAGACACGGCCCAGACUCCUACGGGAGGCAGCAGUGGGGAAUAUUGCACAAUGGGGGAAACCCUGAUGCAGCCAUGCCGCGUGUGUGAAGAAGGCCUUCGGGUUGUAAAGCACUUUCAGCAGUGAGGAAGAUGUGUAGAUUAAUACUCUGCACAUUUGACGUUAGCUGCAGAAGAAGCACCGGCUAACUCCGUGCCAGCAGCCGCGGUAAUACGGAGGGUGCGAGCGUUAAUCGGAAUUACUGGGCGUAAAGCGCAUG
Molecule: ribosomal RNA, 533 nt
Filed under: uncultured bacterium
Lineage: Bacteria
Description: bacterial SSU rRNA
Rfam family: Bacterial small subunit ribosomal RNA
Source: RNAcentral